GGGAAGUGAGAUGGACGUAAAUGAAUUUAAAUCACCUGCAGCUCUGCGCCAAUUUAUACAUUCUGCUGAAUUGUGAUCACGCAACAUUGCUUGGCCUAUCUGUGCUGCAGGGAAUUUGGUGCGCCCAGUAGUCGAAUUGACUAAUGUUCUCGCAAGAAGUAUGUUGUAUUUAAUCAUGGUGGUGGGUGUGCACGUGAGAGGCUUGAGAAAGGGAGUUCAUUCUCCUGAAACGUCGCCUGAAUUAUGGUCGGUGCUCGGAUCUCUUGAGAAGCUCAACUUUCAGCCCGCAGGAGAUUCAAUGAAUCACGACCAGGAAAAGAAAACCUUGGAGAGGCUGGUGAAUUUCUAAAAGUGCCAGACUGAUUUUUGUUACUUUAUCACUGGCUGACUAUCCUGGUUAUAACCAUUCUAUGCCUGUUUUUGUAUGACAGUUGAAGAAUUUAUAGAUAAAGAUUUUGGA
This is a long non-coding RNA of Hyla sarda, 460 nucleotides long. RefSeq lists it as uncharacterized. The transcript is spliced from 3 exons. The record is from RefSeq and is a predicted model, not a curated record. Lineage: Eukaryota; Metazoa; Chordata; Amphibia; Anura; Hylidae.